GUCAGAUCUGAUGGUUGAAGAGUCCAAUUGAAUUGUGACUCUAGUGAGGAGUUCCACUGGGACUAGGACUCCACUAUUAAUAGAAAAUUAAUUAGUAAUUAGAUUACUAAUUGACUCAAUUUGAUUGAGUAAAGAGUUUUGAAUCAAGUCUAAUUGAAUUAGAUUCAGUUCAACUCAGAUUGGAUUUGAUUUGAUCAAAC
RNAcentral lists this long non-coding RNA (200 nucleotides) under Elaeis guineensis (African oil palm). RNAcentral's name for it is "long non-coding RNA (EGUI_LNC037525)". The record is from RNAcentral. Lineage: Eukaryota; Viridiplantae; Streptophyta; Magnoliopsida; Arecales; Arecaceae.